ACUUACUGUCAACCCCGCAGAUGUCACCAUAAAGAAGAGAGUGAGGACAAGUGUAAGCCAAGUCCUGAGUGAUGAACGACUGGAUGGAUAGAUGGACUGUUGGAAUAGUGGGAACCUGGAGGCCUGUACUGAGACUUGCUCUUCCUGUGCUCUGGGAGCACUUCCAGAUGCUAUCUGUGGGCACAAGGACCAGGGGGCCAGAAUCCAGGAUGUUCUUCAAAAAUGAGGGGUAGAGCCUGCCCAGUAUGCUCAAAACCUUGGAUUCCGUCCCCAGAACUGGAGGAGAACCUGAUUUCAGUGAUCUCAAGUAUCCACAAAACAAAGUCCAAGGGCCUCCCACAGUCACUCAAAUCUCCAUGUACUGUGAGUCCCUGUCCCUUGCCCACCAGCCCCUUCUGCCGCCCUCUCCCCUGCUGAGCUGGGUGUCUUCCCCUCUGUUCAUGUGUGUUUAAGUCUUGUUUGCAGAACAAAAUACAUCUGAGUUCCAGAUCAGCCUGAUCUCUGAUCUUUGCAGCAAAUUUCAGGACAAUCAGAGCUACAGAGCUACACAGAGAGA
Mus musculus (house mouse) is the source of this 556-nucleotide long non-coding RNA. RefSeq annotates it as predicted gene 45181. The transcript is spliced from 3 exons. Lineage: Eukaryota; Metazoa; Chordata; Mammalia; Rodentia; Muridae. The record is from RefSeq and is a predicted model, not a curated record.